UUUUUAACAAAUGUUAUAAUCGAAUAUUUAAAAGUUUUUCAUACGAUCAAUUCACUUUUUAUUAUUAUUUUCAUGAUAAUUGUUUUAAAUGACAAAUAAAAUAUAUUAAUAAGGGAGAAAAACUAUGUAUAAGAGAAAAAGUCCACAAAUCACAAGAAGUGCCUGAAGAUAACAAAUGAUAAAAAAAAAUAUACAACGAUAACAAUAAAU
Molecule: long non-coding RNA, 210 nt
Filed under: Lathyrus oleraceus (garden pea)
Lineage: Eukaryota; Viridiplantae; Streptophyta; Magnoliopsida; Fabales; Fabaceae
Description: Pisum sativum (pea) long non-coding RNA (PSAT_LNC015141)
Source: RNAcentral